GUGAGGAAUAUUGCGCAAUGGAGGCAACUCUGACGCAGCCAUGCCGCGUGCAGGAAGAAGGCGCUACGCGUUGUAAACUGCUUUUAACCGGGAAGAAACCCCAGGACGUGUCCUGGGUUGACGGUACCGGAGGAAUAAGCACCGGCUCACUUCGUGCCAGCAGCCGCGGUAAUACGAAGGGUGCAAGCGUUAUCCGGAUUCAUUGGGUUUAAAGGGUGCGUAGGCGGAGCGUUAAGUCAGUGGUGAAAUCCUGCAGCUUAACUGUAGACUUGCCAUUGAUACUGGCGCUCUUGAGUGCGCUUGAAGUGGGCGGAAUGUGCCGUGUAGCGGUGAAAUGCUUAGAUAUGGCACAGAACACCAAUUGCGAAGGCAGCUCACUAAGGCGAUACUGACGCUGAGGCACGAAAGCGUGGGGAUCGAACAGGAUUAGAUACCCGAGUAGUCC
RNAcentral lists this ribosomal RNA (445 nucleotides) under uncultured bacterium. RNAcentral describes it as "partial 16S ribosomal RNA". It matches the Rfam family "Bacterial small subunit ribosomal RNA", at positions 354 to 796 of the family's 1533-position model. The record is from RNAcentral.